CCUACGGGAGGCAGCAGUGAGGAAUAUUGGUCAAUGGCCGAGAGGCUGAACCAGCCAAGUAGCGUGAGGGAAGACUGUCCUAUGGAUUGUAAACCUCUUUUGUCAGGGAGCAAAGGGCGCCACGUGUGGCGCUUUGCGAGUACCUGAAGAAAAAGCAUCGGCUAACUCCGUGCCAGCAGCCGCGGUAAUACGGAGGAUGCGAGCGUUAUCCGGAUUUAUUGGGUUUAAGGGGUGCGCAGGCGGAAUGUCAAGUCAGAGGUAAAAUUUCGGGGCUCAACCCCGUCGUGCCGUUGAAACUGGCGUUCUUGAGUGAGCGAGAAGUAUGCGGAAUUCGUGGUGUAGCGGUGAAAUGCAUAGAUAUCACGCAGAACUCCGAUUGCGAAGGCAGCAUACCGGCGCUCAACUGACGCUCAUGCACGAAAGCGUGGGUAUCGAACAGGAUUAGAUACCCCGGUAGUC
This 459-nucleotide ribosomal RNA is filed under the name uncultured bacterium. Its description in RNAcentral is "partial 16S ribosomal RNA". It matches the Rfam family "Bacterial small subunit ribosomal RNA", at positions 338 to 795 of the family's 1533-position model. The record is from RNAcentral.